UUCAAAUGCAUGUGCAUGUUGAAGUUGUUGGGCUUGACCUAUACCAUAAUUUCUCACCAUAGAGGUUAGUUCAGAAAUUUGAGAAGAGAGAAAAGACAUACUUACCGUAGCCAUGCUUGUAAGGUCUUGGCAGUGCGUUCAAUUUCUGGAUCGUAAAGAAGAGCUUCUUUACGAUCAGCCCUAGUCACAAAAGGAAAAUACGUUAGUUAGAUCAAAUCCCCGGCAAC
Molecule: long non-coding RNA, 227 nt
Filed under: Manihot esculenta (cassava)
Lineage: Eukaryota; Viridiplantae; Streptophyta; Magnoliopsida; Malpighiales; Euphorbiaceae
Description: long non-coding RNA (MESC_LNC001177)
Source: RNAcentral